GGGGUCCCCUCUCAGUCGUCUCUUCUCGAGGCUGAACAGGCUCAACUCCCUCAGUCUUUUCUCUAAAAGAACUGCCUCCAAGGCCACCCAGGCACGGCCCCUUGGCGAGGUGAAGGUGUCACACAGCGAAACAAACACGGGAGCAUUGAACCAUCAGUCUCUGUCAGCCAGCGAGUCCACAAUCUCUGCAAAACACAAGGAUGGCAUUAACCGGCACAGAGGAUUUGUGGUAGGCUUGUUUGGAUUUUUUAAACAGAUGAGAAGAUGGCUUUCCCUCACUGAUGACGACUGGGACACGGAGUCACUCUCUCCUUGGGCCAGCACAAACGGGCAGGGAUUAGCAGGGGACAGGCCUGAGCAGACAGCACAGCCCAAACAGAAGUAGCUGUGUUUAUGGAAACACCCUUGUGAACAUCUGCAAUAAACUAUAAAUAUCCUUCCAGCUCAACACCACACAGUGGUAGGUGUUGGAUUAUGGUCAUAUUAGGGUAA
This is a long non-coding RNA of Vidua chalybeata, 492 nucleotides long. RefSeq lists it as uncharacterized. NCBI's taxonomy places the organism in Eukaryota, Metazoa, Chordata, Aves, Passeriformes, Viduidae. The record is from RefSeq and is a predicted model, not a curated record. The transcript is spliced from 3 exons.